UGGGGAAUAUUGCACCAUGGGCGCAAGCCUGAUGCAGCAACGCCGCGUGAGGGACGACGGCCUUCGGGUUGUAAACCUCUUUUGGCAGGGAAGAAGCGAAAGUGACGGUACCUGCAGAAAAAGCACCGGCUAACUACGUGCCAGCAGCCGCGGUGAUACGUAGGGUGCAAGCGUUGUCCGGAAUUAUUGGGCGUAAAGAGCUCGUAGGCGGUUUGUCGCGUCUGCUGUGAAAACCCGAGGCUCAACCUCGGGCCUGCAGUGGGUACGGGCAAACUAGAGUGCGGUAGGGGAGAUUGGAAUUCCUGGUGUAGCGGUGGAAUGCGCAGAUAUCAGGAGGAACACCGAUGGCGAAGGCAGAUCUCUGGGCCGUAACUGACGCUGAGGAGCGAAAGCAUGGGGAGCGAACA
This 407-nucleotide ribosomal RNA is filed under the name uncultured bacterium. RNAcentral describes it as "bacterial SSU rRNA". It matches the Rfam family "Bacterial small subunit ribosomal RNA", at positions 355 to 774 of the family's 1533-position model. The record is from RNAcentral.